UAAUACGUAGGGGGCUAGCGUUGUCCGGAAUCAUUGGGCGUAAAGGGCGUGUAGGCGGUCCGGUAAGUCGGCUGUGAAAAUCCAGGGCUCAACUCUGGGAUGCCGGUCGAUACUGCCGGACUAGAGUUCGGAAGAGGCGAGUGGAAUUCCCGGCGUAGCGGUGAAAUGCGCAGAUAUCGGGAGGAACACCUAUGGCGAAGGCAGCUCGCUGGGACGUUACUGACACUGAGACGCGAAAGCGUGGGGAGCAAACAGGA
RNAcentral lists this ribosomal RNA (257 nucleotides) under uncultured prokaryote. RNAcentral's name for it is "partial 16S ribosomal RNA". It matches the Rfam family "Bacterial small subunit ribosomal RNA", at positions 521 to 777 of the family's 1533-position model. The record is from RNAcentral.